AGAGCGAACGCUGGCGGCAUGCUUAACACAUGCAAGUCGCACGGGCACUUCGGUGUCAGUGGCGGACGGGUGAGUAACGCGUAGGUAUCUAUCCUUGGGUGGGGGACAACGGUUGGAAACGACUGCUAAUACCGCAUAAUAACUGAGGUUUAAAGGCGCAAGUCGCCUGAGGAGGAGCCUGCGUACGAUUAGCUAGUUGGUGGGGUAAAGGCCUACCAAGGCGACGAUCGUUAGCUGGUCUGAGAGGAUGAUCAGCCACAUUGGGACUGAGACACGGCCCAAACUCCUACGGGAGGCAGCAGUGGGGAAUAUUGGACAAUGGGCGAAAGCCUGAUCCAGCAAUGCCGCGUGUGUGAAGAAGGUCUUCGGAUUGUAAAGCACUUUCGACAGGGACGAUGAUGACGGUACCUGUAGAAGAAGCCCCGGCUAACGUUCGUGCCAGCAGCCGC
Molecule: ribosomal RNA, 449 nt
Filed under: uncultured bacterium
Lineage: Bacteria
Description: SSU rRNA
Rfam family: Bacterial small subunit ribosomal RNA
Source: RNAcentral